GACGAACGUUGGCGGCGUGCUUAACACAUGCAAGUCGAACGGAAAGGCCCUGCUUUUGUGGGGUGCUCGAGUGGCGAACGGGUGAGUAACACGUGAGUAACCUGCCCUUGACUUUGGGAUAACUUCAGGAAACUGGGGCUAAUACCAGAUAGGAGCUCCUGCUGCAUGGUGGGGGUUGGAAAGUUUCGGCGGUUGGGGAUGGACUCGCGGCUUAUCAGCUUGUUGGUGGGGUAGUGGCUUACCAAGGCUUUGACGGGUAGCCGGCCUGAGAGGGUGACCGGCCACAUUGGGACUGAGAUACGGCCCAGACUCCUACGGGAGGCAGCAGUGGGGAAUAUUGCACAAUGGGCGGAAGCCUGAUGCAGCAACGCCGCGUGCGGGAUGACGGCCUUCGGGUUGUAAACCGCUUUCGCCUGUGACGAAGCGUGAGUGACGGUAAUGGGUAAAGAAGCACCGGCUAACUACGUGCCAGCAGCCGCGGUGAUACGUAGGGUGCGAGCGUUGUCCGGAUUUAUUGGGCGUAAAGGGCUCGUAGGUGGUUGAUCGCGUCGGNAAGUGUAAUCUUGGGGCUUAACCCUGAGCGUGCUUACGAUACGGGUUGACUUUGAGGAAGGUAGGGGAGAAUGGAAUUCCUGGUGGAGCGGUGGAAUGCGCAGAUAUCAGGAGGAACACCAGUGGGCGAAAGGCGGUUCUCUGGGCCUUUCCUGACGCUGAGGAGCGAAAGCGUGGGGAGCGAACAGGCUUAGAUACCCUGGUAGUCCACGCUGUAAACGGUGGGUACUAGGUGUGGGGUCCAUUCCACGGGUUCCGUGCCGUAGCUAACGCUUUAAGUACCCCGCCUGGGGAGUACGGCCGCAAGGCUAAAACUCAAAGGAAUUGACGGGGCCCCGCACAAGCGGCGGAGCAUGCGGAUUAAUUCGAUGCAACGCGUAGAACCUUACCUGGGUUUGACAUGGAUCGGGAGUGCUCAGAGAUGGGUGUGCCUCUUUUGGGGUCGGUUCACAGGUGAUGCAUGCCUGUCGUCAGCUCGUGUCGUGAGAUGUUGGGUUAAGUCCCGCAACGAGCGCAACCCUUGUUCACUGUUGCCAGCACGUUAUGGUGGGGACUCAGUGGAGACCGCCGGGGUCAACUCGGAGGAAGGUGGGGAUGACGUCAAGUCCUCAUGCCCCUUAUGUCCAGGGCUUCACGCAUGCUACAAUGGCUGGUACAGAGAGUGGCGAGCCUGUGAGGGUGAGCGAAUCUCGGAAAGCCGGUCUCAGUUCGGAUUGGGGUCUGCAACUCGACCUCAUGAAGUCGGAGUCGCUAGUAAUCGCAGAUCAGCAACGCUGCGGUGAAUACGUUCCCGGG
RNAcentral lists this ribosomal RNA (1347 nucleotides) under uncultured bacterium. Its description in RNAcentral is "16S ribosomal RNA". It matches the Rfam family "Bacterial small subunit ribosomal RNA", at positions 28 to 1378 of the family's 1533-position model. The record is from RNAcentral.